RNAcentral lists this transfer RNA (75 nucleotides) under Gammaproteobacteria bacterium. RNAcentral describes it as "tRNA-Thr". It matches the Rfam family "tRNA". From Rfam's summary of the family: Transfer RNA (tRNA) molecules are approximately 80 nucleotides in length. Their secondary structure includes four short double-helical elements and three loops (D, anti-codon, and T loops). Lineage: Bacteria; Pseudomonadati; Pseudomonadota; Gammaproteobacteria. The record is from RNAcentral.
GCUCAUGUAGCUCAGGGGUAGAGCACAUCCUUGGUAAGGAUGAGGUCCUCGGUUCAAUUCCGAGCAUGAGCUCCA